AUUGAACGCUGGCGGCAGGCCUAACACAUGCAAGUCGAACGGUAACAGGCAGCAGCUUGCUGCUUUGCUGACGAGUGGCGGACGUGUGAGUAAUGUCUUGUACACUGCCCGAUGGAGUGGGCUAACUACUGUAAACGUUAUCCAAUACCGCAUAACGUCGUAAGGCCAAAGUGGGGGACUUUAUUGCCUCUUGCCUUCGCUCGUGCCCUAUUGGGUUUUUCUAGUGGGUGGGGUAUCGGCUCACCUCGGCGACUAUCCCUCGCUGGUCUGAGAGGAUGAAGAGCCACACUGGAGCUGAGACACGGUACAGACUCCUACGGGAGGCAGAAGUGGGGAAUAUUGGAAGAUGGGCGGAAGCCUGAUGCAGGCAUGCAGCGUGUAUGAAGAAGGCCUUCGGGUUGUAAAGUACUUUCAGCGGGGAGGAAGGGAGUAAAGUUAAAACCUGUGCUCAUUGACGUUACCCGCAGAAGAAGCACCGGCUAACUCCGUG
Molecule: ribosomal RNA, 490 nt
Filed under: uncultured bacterium
Lineage: Bacteria
Description: partial 16S ribosomal RNA
Rfam family: Bacterial small subunit ribosomal RNA
Source: RNAcentral